Molecule: long non-coding RNA, 2659 nt
Filed under: Olea europaea subsp. europaea
Lineage: Eukaryota; Viridiplantae; Streptophyta; Magnoliopsida; Lamiales; Oleaceae
Source: RNAcentral
AAAUAACUCAAACCCUAUUCUCUUUCAUGUAUUCUCUUUCUCGCCUCUCUCCAUUCAUCCCUCCCCAAGAUGAUGAUCUGUAGCAUGUAUAUUGAUAAUUCGAGCUCAGAUUCAUUUGGGCAUAGUUUUGAUUGUAUGCCGAACACUCUUUGCCGCUAUAAGGGCCCCAAUUUUUAAGGUACUGAUUACCCUGCGUUGGCUGUGGUGCUUAAGACUGAAGAAGACAUUGAUUCGGCGGCGCUGGGGGUGGAGGAGCGAAUGUACUGUUGCGAUGGAUGGGAUGGCCUGUACGAAAGCCAUUGCAGUUAUCCGUCUACAACUCCGCUAGAAAGGGUACAACUUUUACUCUAUCGAGAGAGAAAUUAAAACCCCAAAACAGAAACUGAAUUUACAAUUGGAAAAUUUAACGAAUUUGGAUAAUUGAGAUGUAGAAUUCGGGUCGGAAAAUUCUAAUUUUGAAACCCUAGAGAAGAGAAUUGCUUAACUCCAAAACCCAGGAUCAAAAUUAAAACCUGAACUUAAUUGGAGCUUGCCUAUACAGAAUUGAAUGUGUUCAUUUAUUUAAAUUUGGCAGUCCGCUCUUCUACAUUAUUCAUUACAAUUCCACAUUUUCAUUUUAUCGUGUGGAAUUUAUGUGGAAUGUGUGUGUUUUGUUUAUACAAAAAUAUCUUCAGAAUGUGUGGAACGUGGAAUGUGAAAUGUGUGUGUACAAUUCCUUUUCACCGUCAUAAUAAUUUGAAGUAAUUGCAAGGGCCUUGUUCUCAACUGGUUAUCAAAUUGGAGUUGCACAUCUUCAAAUCAAGAUUUAUUUGUGUGAUCAGUGAUGUAACAAAAUUCGGGCACUCUAUUUUUGUGGGACCCCAAAACUUGAGCUUCAUUUCAUACUAUUUGCUUCAUAUUUUCUGUUUUUUUAAAUUGAUCUCCAAAUCUGUACACGGAUAAUGGAGGCGCCAACGACAUAAAAAUAUUUACAAUUGCCAAAAUUUGUAAAUUAACAUAAAUUUUGCUCCUAGCAUUGUCUAUCACCUUUUCAGAUUUCAGCUUCCAUGGUUAUUGGUUUUCAUGUUUGCUCUUAAGUUAAUUAAAUGGUCACAGCUUUGUGUUUUCAAUUUCUAAGUUUCAAUUAAUCGUCUUCUUUGUAGGAGCUGAGUCAAGAAGAAAGGUAAUGACUUGAUCACUGCUAUGCUUACCGAGGAUCUUCGUUCUGUAUGAAUCAUAAGUUGAAAUAAAACAAAUUUGUUCAAGUCAAAUAACAUAACAAAAGGUGCAUGAAGGGCGUGUGCUUGGAAUUUGAAUUAGAAACGAUUUAAUUCUAACUUGAAUUAAUUUCAAGGCUCUUGUUAUAUGCAUGGAAUAUAUCAUAUGAAUUUAAUCCAACAAACUUGUAUUUUUAUACAUUUUCCAAUUUUUUUAUCUUUAUUUUUUGUAUGUCUAAACAUUAUAUCUCCCGUAAAAUUCUGCUCCAUUUAUAAGUUCAAUAUUUUUUGGUUGGUAGUAAAUAAUUUGUUUUAAACUAGUUUCUUUAGUUUAUUCGUCUUCAACAAAACUUUUUUUAAAAAAAAUUCCAUUUUUCUUUAAUGGGAGGAGGGGCUUUAAAAAACAAGUUAAGUUCCUUGGUUUAACGUUAAUUUGACUUGGAUUGAAAGUGGAAGUUCAAAAAUUGAAUCAGUAAUGCAAAUUAACGUUAAUUUGAAUUGGCAUCAUAGAAUGCGUCAAUGUUUUGCUGUUUUUCAUCUCAUUUGUUAUCCUUGACAUUAUUUGAUUUGUUAUUGGAGCAGUGUGUCAUACAUUUUAAUAAUGUCACAUGCUGGUUGUUUAUUUUUGUUUUGUUCAUUUUGAAAAGGUCACAUAUUACUUGUUAUUAUUAUUUUUUUUGGGAUUGUUUUGCUGCAAAUUUCAUGUUAAACACUUGAGUUAGAUAGACUGCUUUUGCAUUCUACCCUAGGGACCUUGUCACUGACUCACUGCAUUGUAGUUUUAUUCUCAGCUGAAUUUUUUUAUUCAUUAUAAUGUAGAAGUGUGGAAUGCUAACCCCUAAUUGUUUUAACCUUUGUGGAAAUUCUACAUCACAAAACCUAAACGUAACCUUUAUUCAUUCAAUUCUCAAUGGUAAGAACAAGGUCAAAUUUUGUAACAAUGUAGGAACAACGUUCAAGUUUUAUUCUUGGUUUAUUCAAAAGAAGUGUAGUUGAUGGUUUUGCAUCCAUGCCUGUGAUUAUAAUUCUGGUGAAAGUUUUAGAGGAAAGAGAGUUGUAGUUGUGGGAUGUGGGAAUUCAGGCAUGGAAGUCUCACUUGAUCUUUGCAACCGUGAUGUGGUUUAUGGGUUUUCUUUUUUAGGUUCUUGUAUUGUCAAUGGUUCUUACUUAUUUUUCUUUACUUUUCUUCUCGAUUAUAAAUGAUACAAAUGUCUAAAAUGUGGUAUCUAUCUUUUUCUCCUUUUUUAUAGGCUAGUACCGAUGUUCAAAGCACAAUUCAUGUUGAAGAUUGCUGAAAAGAAAAUUAAGAAGGCCGAUAGGGUGGUUUCACACACUACUAAGUUAGUCGUUUUUUUUUUUUUUUGGGAAAAUGUAUUGGAUUUUUAGGUAUUUUAGAAUUUUUGAUCUAGAUUUUGUACAAAUAUUGUUAUAUUUUAGAGUUAAAUUAAUAAUGAUUAUUGGAG